Long non-coding RNA from Mus musculus (house mouse), 536 nucleotides. RefSeq annotates it as predicted gene, 42407. The record is from RefSeq and is a predicted model, not a curated record. NCBI's taxonomy places the organism in Eukaryota, Metazoa, Chordata, Mammalia, Rodentia, Muridae. The transcript is spliced from 3 exons.
UUCCAGACAAUGGAAUUCCUUCAGUACUCUGCGUUUCACAAACUUGAGGGCUUGAGAAAAGCGACUACUUGCUAUUCUUGCGGAGGACCCAAGUUCAGUUCUCAGCAGCCACUCCAGCACCUCAGCAGCAGGAGAUCGGCUGUGUUCCUCUGACCUCCUUGGUACUAGGUGUGUCCAUGGUGCACAGACAUACAAGCAGGUAUCAGAUUGACAAAGACUGAAAGAACUUUGGAAGUUGCUGUCAUGGUGGAAAACUCAAGGUCUCAUUUACUUCAGGUGGGAAUAUAAAAAUGGCAGGAUUUCUGUGAGGAGCAAUUUAGUAAGUUGGUAAUACUUAUCAAAAUACAAACUAGAGCAGAAAAGUACACUUCGAGGGAUUUCUUCUCCAGGUACAGUCCUUUCAAUCUGGACGUAAGAAUGCCAAGCCUCUCCUAAGGGGAGCUGCAAUAACAUCUAGACAUAACCUAGCGAAUAUCCUGGAGACUUGACCAAAGCACCAGUUUGCCUAAUGUGCAAAGGAGAACAUACUAAAUGCU